CUUCGGUGCGGCGGUGGCGGCCGGGCUGUGGACCCGGCUGGGGCUGGUGACCGAGUCGAUCGUGGCGGCGACCGAGGA
RNAcentral lists this transfer RNA (78 nucleotides) under Amycolatopsis deserti. Its description in RNAcentral is "tRNA-His". Lineage: Bacteria; Bacillati; Actinomycetota; Actinomycetes; Pseudonocardiales; Pseudonocardiaceae. The record is from RNAcentral.